Fukomys damarensis (Damara mole-rat) is the source of this 1937-nucleotide long non-coding RNA. NCBI's taxonomy places the organism in Eukaryota, Metazoa, Chordata, Mammalia, Rodentia, Bathyergidae. The record is from Ensembl.
UGGGCCCGUGCAGCAGCUCAGGGGUAUGAGUACUCUGGAGGGAGCCCUCCCGAACUAUCUAGAGGAGGAGAUGGGGAGCACUGCUAACAUGGCAGCUACAGCCUUGUGAUUGGUCCAAGUACAGGCCUGUGAUUGGUGCAGGUCUCCAGGACAGCCUCUGUUGUCAUGCUGGGGAUCCAGUGAGGGGCAGGUCUGGAAUGAAGGAAUCUUCUGGAAGGCUAGGUGUGGGCCCAGAUCCCUCCCUCCCUUCAAAAAGGCAACAGUGGCACCUGAAGACUGAAGUCAGGGAGGGACCUAAGUGGAGUACAGGAGGGUGGCUGUGAGAAAACCAGGGCGACUCUGAGGUCCUUGAAGGAUGCAAGUUGUCUUGGCUCUGGCGGCUCCUGGACAUGUGACCUUGGGCUGAUUUCUGAAGCCUCAGCCUCCUCAUCACCGGUAGGGAGUAGCGGGCUUUCUACCUUACCAGUGCACACUGCACACUGCACUUCCUCACCGGGGCCUUCUCAGGUUCCAGAUGCACACAUCGCUUGCUCUUGCAGGAUAGCAGUGCCAGACAUUAGUGCCGCCCCAAGCAGCCAGUGCCUGGGAAGCUGGAAGCCGAGCGAGAAGUGACUGUGGAGUGAAGUGAAGGCUGCAGGUGCUCAUGUCCUAUAAACGAGCCAGGAGAGAAGAUGGGCCAGGAGGGGACCCCGGAGAGGUGCCAGGUCCUGUCAUGUGGCCCCACACAUCAAGGAUUCUCAUCAGAAACUCUCUGAUCACUUGUUCAGAGACAUCAAAUAUCUCUCCAACUAGAAGAUUUUAAAAGAACUAUUUGGUUUUGCAGGACAUAGAACCAAAGCCCCGGGGUUUUCAGUCCCUUAGCACUGAGUAGACCAUGGCAACCCUGACACCACAUUUUGUAAACGGAGACUGUGGUCACCCCAGCUAAGCUUCUCCCUCUCUCCCUCCUCCCUGACAAGCUCGCUAAAGUUUCCUCUUCAAGCCCAGACCACACCUCUUCCCUUCCGGCCUCCCUGGACACUCAUUAAUUCAACAAAUAUUUAUUGAAACCAAUAAAACCGCAUCAAGUCAAAAGCAGCUCAUUGGACUCCUUUUCCUCCUUCACUUCCACAACUACUUUCCGGGCUGGGACAAAGAAAGUGUAGAAUAGAUUUGGGCCUUGGGACUCUCCAGUGAGGCCCUCGGCCAUUUCCUGAUGGAUUCCCACGCAGCAUCGCCUUCCUCACCUACUCCCAGAUUCCUCCUAAAGAUGCCUGUGUAAAAGGUGGCCAGGUUUCUGUCUGGGUUUAAAACAAAGUCCAAGGCUGGAAGACAGCACAGUGGUAGAACAUGUGCUUGGCACACGAGGCCCAGGGGUCAGAUCCCAGCAUAGGAGAGAGAGAGAGAGAGAGAACCCCAACAUGUGUGUGCGCAUGCACACACAUGCGCGCGCACACACACACACACACACACACACACACCGGAAGUCCAGAUCCUUACAACUGCUGAUGGGAAUGAAAACGGGUGCAAGCGCUUUGGAAAGCAGCUUGGCGGUGCAUGUCUUAGAAAGUUAGACACACACUUAAUAUUACCAGCCCUGUGCUCUUGAGUAUCCCCCAAGUGCAACGAAAGGGUAUAUCUACAUAAAGACCCACAUGUGAGGGUCUAGCCACUUAAUGUGUGAUAGCUGCACAUUGGAACAAGCCAAGUACCCACCAAUCGCUAAAUGCACACACAAAACUGCAGCACAUCAUACAAGGGACUAGGGCUCAGGAAUCAAAAGGAAUGAGUUACCGUUGGCAACAACAUAAAGCUCUAGAAAAUGCAAACUAACCUCUAAUAAUAAAAAGCAGAUCAGGGGUUGCCUGGUGGGGAAGCAGAGAAGUAGAAAGGAAGGGGUAUCUUGGGGGAGAAAAGGCUAAAUUCAUUAUUUUGCUUGUGGUUAUAGUUACGCGGGU